GGUCGGCGUCUAGCGGACGGAAGUUGGAGGCAAUAACAGGUCUGGGAUGCCCUUAGAUGUUCGGGGCGGCAGGGGGGCUACACGGACGGAGCCAGGGGGUUUUUCACCUUGGCCGGAAGGUCUGGGUAAUCUUGUGAAACUCUGUCGUGCUGGGGAUAGAGCAUUGCAAUUAUUGCUCUUCAACGAGGAAUACCUAGUAAGCGUGAGUCAUCAGCUCGCGUUGAUUACGU
RNAcentral lists this ribosomal RNA (230 nucleotides) under uncultured Hypsizygus. Its description in RNAcentral is "partial 18S ribosomal RNA". It matches the Rfam family "Eukaryotic small subunit ribosomal RNA", at positions 1421 to 1650 of the family's 1831-position model. The record is from RNAcentral. Lineage: Eukaryota; Fungi; Basidiomycota; Agaricomycetes; Agaricales; Lyophyllaceae.